CCGAUUUCUUUUUGUAAGAUUGUGUGGGGGAGAUGGAGUUAUUGGGGGUUUUUCUGGCAUCAGCAGCGCAAGCGGCUGAUGGCAGGGUUGGCAGGGUUGGCGUUGGUUGCGCAAGCGAUUGAUGGCAGUUUUCCGCCCCCAAACACAAAACACCAAAACCAACAAUAUCAUCAGACAAGAAUUUAUUAAAGAAUA
RNAcentral lists this unclassified non-coding RNA (195 nucleotides) under uncultured fungus. RNAcentral describes it as "sequence contains ITS1, 5.8S rRNA gene". The record is from RNAcentral. Lineage: Eukaryota; Fungi.